UACGUAGGGCGCAAGCGUUGUCCGGAAUUAUUGGGCGUAAAGAGCUCGUAGGUGGCGUGUCGCGUCUGCCGUGAAAGCCCAUGGCUUAACUGUGGGUCUGCGGUGGAUACGGGCAGGCUGGAGGCUGGUAGGGGCAAGCGGAAUUCCUAGUGUAGCGGUGAAAUGCGCAGAUAUCAGGAGGAACACCGGUGGCGAAGGCGGCUUGCUGGGCCAGUUCUGACGCUGAGGAGCGAAAGCGUGGGGAGCGAACAGG
RNAcentral lists this ribosomal RNA (253 nucleotides) under uncultured bacterium. Its description in RNAcentral is "partial 16S ribosomal RNA". It matches the Rfam family "Bacterial small subunit ribosomal RNA", at positions 524 to 776 of the family's 1533-position model. The record is from RNAcentral.